GGCCGGAUGGCAGAAUGGCUAUGCAGAGGACUGCAAAUCCUUGUAUGUCGGUUCGAUUCCGGCUCCGGCCUCCA
Molecule: transfer RNA, 74 nt
Filed under: Alphaproteobacteria bacterium
Lineage: Bacteria; Pseudomonadati; Pseudomonadota; Alphaproteobacteria
Description: tRNA-Cys
Rfam family: tRNA
About the family: Transfer RNA (tRNA) molecules are approximately 80 nucleotides in length.
Source: RNAcentral